This 269-nucleotide ribosomal RNA is filed under the name uncultured Planctomycetales bacterium. RNAcentral describes it as "partial 16S ribosomal RNA". It matches the Rfam family "Bacterial small subunit ribosomal RNA", at positions 567 to 832 of the family's 1533-position model. Lineage: Bacteria; Pseudomonadati; Planctomycetota; Planctomycetia; Planctomycetales. The record is from RNAcentral.
AAGCACGUAGGUGGGUUUGUAAGUCAGACGUGGAAGCCUUCUGUUCAACGGAAGAAUUGCAUCUGAAACUACAAACCUUGAGUGUAGGAGGGGAGAAUGGAACUUCUGGUGGAGCGGUGAAAUGCGUAGAUAUCAGAAGGAACGCCGGCGGCGAAAGCGAUUCUCUGGCCUAUUACUGACACUCAGUGUGCGAAAGCUAGGGGAGCAAACGGGAUUAGAUACCCCGGUAGUCCUAGCCGUAAACGAUGGGCACUAAGUAGAGGGGUUUU